Oryza sativa Indica Group (long-grained rice) is the source of this 205-nucleotide microRNA precursor. It matches the Rfam family "MIR812 microRNA precursor family". NCBI's taxonomy places the organism in Eukaryota, Viridiplantae, Streptophyta, Magnoliopsida, Poales, Poaceae. The record is from Rfam.
AAAAAGAGAAGUCAUGGGUUUCCGUGUCCAACUUUAACUAUCCGUCUUAUAUAAAAUUUUUUUAUAAUUCAUAUUUUUAUUGUUGUUAGAUGAUAAAACAUGAUUAAUAUUUUAUUCGUGACUUAUCUUUUUAAUUUUUUUUCAUAAUUUUUUAAAUAAGACGGACAGUCAAACGUUGGGCAUGGAAAACAUGGUUUGUCUUUUU